Molecule: ribosomal RNA, 460 nt
Filed under: uncultured bacterium
Lineage: Bacteria
Description: partial 16S ribosomal RNA
Rfam family: Bacterial small subunit ribosomal RNA
Source: RNAcentral
CCUACGGGCGGCAGCAGUGAGGAAUAUUGGUCAAUGGCCGGAAGGCUGAACCAGCCAUGCCGCGUGAAGGUCAGUGCCCUAUGGGCGUUAAACUUCUUUUGUGCGGGAGCAAUAAUGGUCACGUGUGGCCAGACGAGAGUACCGUACGAAUAAGCAUCGGCUAACUCCGUGACAGUAGCCGCGGGAAUACGGGGGAUGCAAGCGUUAUCCGGAUUUAUUGGGUUUAAAGGGUGCGUAGGCUGUGAGGUAAGUCAGCGGUGAAAUGCCCCCGCUCAACGGGGUGAAGUGCCAUUGAUACUGCCUUGCUUGAAUGCGGAUGCCGUGGGAGGAAUGUGUGGUGUAGCGGUGAAAUGCAUAGAUAUCACACAGCACACCGAUUGCGAAGGCAUCUCACGAAUCCGCGAUUGACGCUGAUGCACGAAAGCGUGGGUAUCAAACAGGAUUAGAUACCCUGGUAGUC